UCAUUUUCAGAGGUAUGAGUGGAGCUGAUAUUAGUGAUCUGAAAUCAAAGCUCACUCUUUCAUAUGUCCACAUGAACUAACCCAUAUUUUAUAAUACCAUUCUGACAGUAACAUUUGCCCGUUAUAACUUACACUAAUAUUGCACAAAUAUGUUCAGUCCCUAUUGAAAGAGAUUUUGGGGGUGAGAAGUUGAUUAAAAAUCAAAACAAUAUAAUUAUUUAGAAGCUCAGACAAAUCAGAAUGCCUGAUUUGAACAGGCAGUGAGCACAUGGCAGAGAAAACAUGAUUUUAUUGCAAGACAACCUCAUGAUUUGGUAUUUCUAAUUCUUUGUGUGGGAUCAGGAAUUAGUUUUGUGUUGCCUGAGGUGCCAGGAUACCUUCUUGUGGUGAAGUUCACAGGUGCUCUGCCUCUCUCUCCUCUCACACACAUUACCAUGGUAGCUGAAUGCUCCUCCAAAGUAUAUCUAGAGAAUAGUCUGUCCAUCCCUCCAUCCCUGCUCCUCACAUACAGAAUGACCUUGAGUGAAAAUCCCUGCACUGCCUUCACCACAGCUCCUCAAGGACUUAACAAUGCCUACAGGAAAGGCUGAAGAUCACUGACCUGCAUUGUCUUCCUCUGCAUCUCUACAAGCCCCCAGAGCUGAAGCCAGCACCAUGAUAAGGAGUGUGAUGCUGAGGUCAGCAAAGCUGAGCUCUUUUGGGGAAAUCCUGUCAUCUGCAGAAAGUGAGACAAAACCAGAUCUCCCUUUCUCUCACUCACCACAGAAGCAUGGCAGACAUGGUCCAAUGCUCUGGCACUGGAGCAGAUCCUGAAAACUAAUUAAUUACAACAUGAUGGGGAUUUGCCAGAAAAAUCUGUUCCAAUUAAAAUCUGUCAACACAAAUUUGCAAAGGAGCAAUGAUGAUUACAAUUGCACAUUGGGUGGAGCUAAUAAAACAUGUCUCCUGUAUCCCCUGAACAUGACUGUACAAUUACUGACUUGCUGUGGUCCCAGCAAACAACUGAGAUCCUGUUGUGUCAUGUGCUUUCCAAAGAGAUGAUACAGAUUGUUCCUGCU
Long non-coding RNA from Passer domesticus (house sparrow), 1058 nucleotides. RefSeq lists it as uncharacterized. The record is from RefSeq and is a predicted model, not a curated record. Lineage: Eukaryota; Metazoa; Chordata; Aves; Passeriformes; Passeridae. The transcript has 3 exons.